AGCAUAUCAUAGCGGAGAAAAGAAAUCAACAGGGAUUACCUCAGUAACGGCGAGUGAAGCGGUAACAGCUCAAAUUUGAAAUCUGGCUCUUUUAGGGUCCGAGUUGUAAUUUGUAGACGAUGCUUUGGGUGUGGUGCCCGGUCUAAGUUUCCUUGGAACAGGACGUCAUAGAGGGUGAGAAUCCCGUAUGUGAUCGGUCGCCUUCGCCCGUGUAAAGCUCGUUCGACGAGUCGAGUUGUUUGGGAAUGCAGCUCAAAAUGGGUGGUAAAUUUCAUCUAAAGCUAAAUAUUGGCCAGAGACCGAUAGCGCACAAGUAGAGUGAUCGAAAGAUGAAAAGCACUUUGGAAAGAGAGUUAAACAGUACGUGAAAUUGUUGAAAGGGAAGCGCUUGCAACCAGACUUGGGCUGUCGCAAUCAUCCGGGGCUCGCCCCGGUGCACUUGUGGCGGUACAGGCCAGCAUCAGUUUCGGUGGUGGGAUAAAGGCCUUGGGAAUGUAGCUUCUUUCGGGGAGUGUUAUAGCCCUCGGUGCAAUGCCGCCUACCGGGACUGAGGACCGCGCUUCGGCGAGGAUGCUGGCGUAAUGGUUGUAAGCGACCCGUCUUGAAACACGGACCAAGGAGUCUAACAUCUAUGCGAGUGUUUGGGUGUCAAACCCAUACGCGUAAUGAAAGUGAACGGAGGUGAGAACCCAUUAGGGUGCAUCAUCGACCGAUCCUGAUGUCUUCGGAUGGAUUUGAGUAAGAGCAUAGCUGUUGGGACCCGAAAGAUGGUGAACUAUGCCUAAAUAGGGUGAAGCCAGAGGAAACUCUGGUGGAGGCUCGCAGCGGUUCUGACGUGCAAAUCGAUCGUCAAAUUUGGGUAUAGGGGCGAAAGACUAAUCGAACCAUCUAGUAGCUGGUCUGCC
This 905-nucleotide ribosomal RNA is filed under the name Halenospora multiseptata. RNAcentral's name for it is "LSU rRNA". It matches the Rfam family "Eukaryotic large subunit ribosomal RNA", at positions 37 to 960 of the family's 3401-position model. The record is from RNAcentral. Lineage: Eukaryota; Fungi; Ascomycota; Leotiomycetes; Helotiales; Solenopeziaceae.